UGAGUAACCUGCCCUUAACUCUGGGGUAAGCCUGGGAAACUGGGUCUAAUACCGGAUAUGACUCCUCAUCGCAUGGGUGGGGGGUGGAAAGCUUUUUUGUGGUUUUGGAUGGACUCGCGGCCUAUCAGCUUGUUGGUGAGGUAAUGGCUCACCAAGGCGACGACGGGUAGCCGGCCUGAGAGGGUGACCCGGCCACACUGGGACUGAGACACGGCCCAGACCUCCGUACGGGAGGCAG
RNAcentral lists this ribosomal RNA (238 nucleotides) under uncultured bacterium. Its description in RNAcentral is "partial 16S ribosomal RNA". It matches the Rfam family "Bacterial small subunit ribosomal RNA", at positions 118 to 351 of the family's 1533-position model. The record is from RNAcentral.